GGGUUGAUAGCUCAAUUGGCAGAGCAAGGGCCUUUUAAGCCCGAGGUUGAGGGUUCAAAUCCCUCUCGACCCACCA
Molecule: transfer RNA, 76 nt
Filed under: Hahella sp. CCB-MM4
Lineage: Bacteria; Pseudomonadati; Pseudomonadota; Gammaproteobacteria; Oceanospirillales; Hahellaceae
Description: tRNA-Lys
Rfam family: tRNA
About the family: Transfer RNA (tRNA) molecules are approximately 80 nucleotides in length. Their secondary structure includes four short double-helical elements and three loops (D, anti-codon, and T loops).
Source: RNAcentral